Molecule: ribosomal RNA, 774 nt
Filed under: Triticum aestivum (bread wheat)
Lineage: Eukaryota; Viridiplantae; Streptophyta; Magnoliopsida; Poales; Poaceae
Description: partial small subunit ribosomal RNA
Source: RNAcentral
AUGAACUUAAGCUGGGUGAGGUGCUUUGGCGACUUAGCUUUGGUGGCUCAGCAGGUCUUAGGAACUUGCGAUUCUAAAGACCCGCUCAUGGCGGCUUAUCGCCGGGCGGUUGACAGUAUUGCUGGCCAUUUCAAAGUUUAUCAAGUGGAGCAUGUUGAUGCUUUAAGCCGGUUGGGGUCUCAGCGUAAGCCGGUGCCACCCAAUGUUUUUCUUGACAUAUUACACAACCCUUCAGUUAAGCUGCCGACAGAAGAGGAUCUUGCAAUUCCUGACCCGAAGGCACAGUUGGUGGCAGCUCUGCAUGCUAUUCCUGAUUGGUCAGCUCCUUAUUUGGCUUAUAUGACCCGGGGAGAGUUGCCUGAGGAUGAAACUUUGGCCAGACAAAUAAUCCGGAGGUCUAAGUCAAUGACUAUUGUCAAUGGCGAGUUGCACCGAUGCAGUGUUACAGGUGUGUUCCAGCGCUGUGUUUCCCCUGAAGAAGGCCAUGAGAUUCUAAGAGAGAUUCAUGAAGGAGAUUGUGGCCAUCACGCCGGCUCUAAGUCUCUCAUGGCUAAGGCUUUUCGUAAUGGGUUUUAUUGGCUGACGGCUCAUGCUGAUGCAGAAGAUCUGGUUAGCAAGUGCGACGACUGUCAGAAAUUUUCCAGAUGGGCUCAUGUGUCGGCUCAGAAAUUGAGGAUGAUUCCAAUCACUUGGAUGUUUGCCGUUUGGGGGCUGGAUAUGAUUGGACCCACCUUUUGGUGGCAGUUGAUAAGUUCACAAAGUGCGUUGAGGUAG